GACGAAGGAUGCAAGCGUUAUCCGGAUUCAUUGGGUUUAAAGGGAGCGUAGGUGGCCUUAUAAGUCAGUGGUGAAAUCUCUCGGCUUAACCGAGAAAUUGCCAUUGAUACUGUAGGGCUUGAGUACAGAUGCCGUUGGCGGAAUAUGACAUGUAGUGGUGAAAUACAUAGAGAUGUCAUAGAACACCGAUUGCGAAGGCAGCUGACGAAACCGUAACUGACACUGAGGCUCGAAAGUGCGGGGAUCAAACAGG
Molecule: ribosomal RNA, 253 nt
Filed under: uncultured bacterium
Lineage: Bacteria
Description: partial 16S ribosomal RNA
Rfam family: Bacterial small subunit ribosomal RNA
Source: RNAcentral